GGGGAUGCACUGGUUUCGACGGGAUUGUUGAAAUUAGGAUAGCGAGUAGAGGGUUCCGUUGGCCUCUUUAAAAAGCGGAGAAAUUUUUAAAUGCCGAAAAACAACCGGUAUUAGCAGCUGCUUAAUAAUUGCUGCUCCGGGAACCGCCUGAUCUGCAAGGCGAAUUCCCUGUCGAUUCGCAGACCUUGCCUUUAGGAGGUUAAAUAGGUAAACCUUCAUUUCAAAGCUUUGCGAUUUGAUUGUAUUAUGAAGCUACUGCCAUUGAACUUCGUCAUUAAAGGUCAAUGUCAGGAAAAAUAAAGUAAUGACUGCACUCGGAGAAAUCUUAACGGAGGCAUUUUCGGACACGGGUUCAACUCCCGUCAUCUCCACCA
Molecule: transfer-messenger RNA, 374 nt
Filed under: Clostridiaceae bacterium
Lineage: Bacteria; Bacillati; Bacillota; Clostridia; Eubacteriales; Clostridiaceae
Also listed under: 1 other name
Rfam family: transfer-messenger RNA
About the family: Bacterial tmRNA, also known as 10Sa RNA or SsrA, is named for its dual tRNA and mRNA-like properties.
Source: RNAcentral